This is a long non-coding RNA of Lytechinus pictus (painted urchin), 600 nucleotides long. RefSeq lists it as uncharacterized. Lineage: Eukaryota; Metazoa; Echinodermata; Echinoidea; Temnopleuroida; Toxopneustidae. The transcript has 4 exons. The record is from RefSeq and is a predicted model, not a curated record.
UGUACCGCACAACAUAUUGUGCAAGUGAGCUGUUGAAUCUAGGCAUACCAGGAUCAGGAUGGCCGAACUGGAGUACAUUUUAAAAGAUUUCGGGGAGGAAAUCAUUCAGAUUUUGAAAGGAGCAUUUCUUCUCAGAAAAUGAAGGAUUCAUUGAGUACAGAUUCAAGAAUAUGAGGCAGAAUGACAAACAGGGUAAGAAGAGGAAGCAUGCCAAAUCAGAUGAUCACAAACAAGAAGAUGUGAUAGUGGAUGAGGAAUUACUUCAAGAUGAAGAAUUACAAGAAAUGGUUAACUGGAUGAAGCACACAGUUCCCACUGCAGCAAAUAAGGGGAAAAUUAUCCAAUUUUUCAAAGACACUGCUGCUUAUCGUCAAAUGAUGCUGAAGAAGAGGACAGACAUGACCAUUUCAGACUUCAUCACCACCUUUCCAAGGAUACAAGAGAUGCCAGAACUUAUCAACAUGGACUUUGAAACAGAACAUGGGCACCUUUCUGACAAUUUUAUUUCAAAGUGGGAGUCGUUCUACCGAGACCGUAUCAUAAAAUUAGGUUUGAGCUGGUAUCCAGCGGUAAAAGAAUCAAUUCAACAGUUUGAGAAAG